CAACUCUUAGCAAUGGAUAUCUUGGUUCCCGCAACGAUGAAGAACGCAGCGAAAUGCGAUACGUAAUGCGAAUUGCAGAAUUCAGUGAAUCAUCGAAUCUUUGAACGCAAGU
This 112-nucleotide ribosomal RNA is filed under the name Polymyxa graminis f. sp. temperata. RNAcentral describes it as "partial 5.8S ribosomal RNA". It matches the Rfam family "5.8S ribosomal RNA", at positions 1 to 111 of the family's 154-position model. From Rfam's summary of the family: 5.8S ribosomal RNA (5.8S rRNA) is a component of the large subunit of the eukaryotic ribosome. It is transcribed by RNA polymerase I as part of the 45S precursor that also contains 18S and 28S rRNA. The record is from RNAcentral. Lineage: Eukaryota; Endomyxa; Phytomyxea; Plasmodiophorida; Plasmodiophoridae.